Molecule: ribosomal RNA, 563 nt
Filed under: uncultured bacterium
Lineage: Bacteria
Description: bacterial SSU rRNA
Rfam family: Bacterial small subunit ribosomal RNA
Source: RNAcentral
CCUACGGGGGCAGCAGUGGGGAAUCUUGCGCAAUGGGCGAAAGCCUGACGCAGCCACGCCGCGUGCGGGAUGAAGGCCCUAGGGUUGUAAACCGCUUUUAACAGGAACGAAAAUGACGGUACCUGUAGAAUAAGGUGCGGCCAACUACGUGCCAGCAGCCGCGGUGACACGUAGGCACCAAGCGUUGUCCGGAUUUAUUGGGCGUAAAGAGCUCGUAGGCGGUUCAGUAAGUCGGGUGUGAAAACUCUGGGCUUAACCCAGAGACGCCACUCGAUACUAUUGUGACUAGAGUUCGGUAGGGGAGCGGGGAAUUCCUAGUGUAGCGGUGAAAUGCGCAGAUAUUAGGAGGAACACCGGUGGCGAAGGCGCCGCUCUGGGCCGAUACUGACGCUGAGGAGCGAAAGCGUGGGUAGCAAACAGGAUUAGAUACCCUGGUAGUCCACGCCGUAAACGGUGGGCACUAGGUGUGGGUUCCAACCAACGGAAUCCGCGCCGUCGCUAACGCAUUAAGUGCCCCGCCUGGGGAGUACGGCCGCAAGGUUAAAACUCAAAUGAAUUGACGG